GAAAAGGGAUUUUUUGUCUAGGAAACGCAAUCUAAACGUCACGUUGUCGUCGUCUUCUCGACUUCCCCUGUGAUUUUUUUUUCUACCGACUCGAAUCACGCACAGCACAAAGUCUUAUGUCCAUAUAAAUGGAGCGAUAUUAUAACAAAACGAGUGCUUCUGAUUCUAAAAGAAAUUUGGAUAAAUUGGAUAACUCUGAUGACUUGGAUGCUUUGCCAUGGGAUCCAGCUGAAAGAAAAAAGAUAUCACAGUAUUUUCCUAAUCAAAGAGACGAAGUAAGACGAAAAUAUUUAACUAGAGGUCCAUGUCAACCCCGGGUCAUGUUUUUCAAAAGAAGAAGUUUGGAACAGCAAUGAGGAGGUUUAAUCCAGGGUAGUAUAUUUUAUUAUACAAAAUAGUUCAUGACAAUGCUUUUCUAUAUUUUAUUUAGUAAUUUUUAUUUCCGCCCCUGA
This is a long non-coding RNA of Raphanus sativus (radish), 452 nucleotides long. RefSeq lists it as uncharacterized. The transcript is spliced from 2 exons. The record is from RefSeq and is a predicted model, not a curated record. NCBI's taxonomy places the organism in Eukaryota, Viridiplantae, Streptophyta, Magnoliopsida, Brassicales, Brassicaceae.